This is an RNA transcript of Alosa sapidissima (American shad), 4495 nucleotides long. RefSeq lists it as uncharacterized. Lineage: Eukaryota; Metazoa; Chordata; Actinopteri; Clupeiformes; Clupeidae. The transcript has 19 exons. The record is from RefSeq and is a predicted model, not a curated record.
CUUCUGUAAACCAACUGCAUACUACUGUCUACACUGUGCUAUAUUUCUUGUUCUGCCUAUGCACCACCUGUCUAAACUUUGUGUGUUACAUUGCACUUUUUUGCCGUUCUGGUUAGACACAAACUGCAUUUCGUUGUCUUUGUAGCCUGUGUUUUUAAACUGUUCUUGGCACGUAUGCCACACCCACUAGCACUGCAUCACUGAUUGGUGUUGUAUUUUAGUGCGUACACACUCACUUUGACAGUUGUUUUGAACUGUUCUUUGCACAUGUCAUACCCACAAGCUCUGCAUCAAUAUUUCAGGGUUGUGCAAAACACUACAUCACAGGUUGACAUUGCAGUAAGUGCACACUUACUAGCCUGUGUUUUUAAACUGUUCUUGGCACUUAUGCCACACCCACAAGCAUUGCAUCACUGAUUGGUGUUGUAUUUUAAUGCGUACACACUCACUUUGUCAGUCGUUUUGAACUGUUCUUUGCACACACAUUUUACGUACACAUCAAGUUUACUCUGCUGUUUGUGUUACUCACACACUGGUUGAUAUUGCAUCACUGAUUGGUGUUGUAUUUUAAUGCGUACACACUCACUUUGUCAGUCGUUUUGAACUGUUCUUUGCACACACAUUUUACGUACACAUCAAGUUUACUCUGCUGUUUGUGUUACUCACACACUGGUUGAUAUUGCAUCACUGAUUGGUGUUGUAUUUUAAUGCGUACACACUCACUUUGUCAGUCGUUUUGAACUGUUCUUUGCACACACAUUUUACGUACACACCAAGUUUACUCUGCUGUUUGUGUUACUCACACACUGGUUGAUAUUGCAUCACUGAUUGGUGUUGUAUUUUAAUGCGUACACACUCACUUUGUCAGUCGUUUUGAACUGUUCUUUGCACACACAUUUUACGUACACAUCAAGUUUACUCUGCUGUUUGUGUUACUCACACACUGGUUGAUAUUGCAGUAUGCACACUUACUAGCCUGUGUUUUAAAACUGUUCUUGGCACGUAUGCCACACCCACAAGCACUGCAUCAAUAUUUCAGGGUCGUGCAAAACACUACAUCACAGGUUGACAUUGCAGUAAGUGCAUCACUGGUUGGUAUUGUAUUUUUAGUGCGUACACACUCACUUUGCCUGUUUUGUUGUUCUUGGCACUUAUGGCACACUCACAAACAUGGUUGGUAUUAUAUUUAUACCUGUUCUUGGCACCUGUCUUACUCACACUACAUGUUCUACGUGGCGACUACAAACGAGGACACAGCCCUGCAGUACACCCGUGUUGAUGAUCACUGCUGAGGUUGAGGUUUCAACAAACACAAAUCGCUGGUUAAUAUUGUAUUUAAGUACGUACACACUCACUUUGCCUGUGUUGUUGAACUGUUCUUGGCACAUGCCAUACUCACACACAAUUCACUGAUAAAUGUUGUCAAUUGUACAAUAAGUGGGGACUUACUUUCUUGUGUUUUAAAACUGUUCUUGGCACAUAUGCCACACUGACACACACCGCAUCAUAGUCAAUAGUAGGCCUACAAGGUCCAGCAUAUACUACUACAUCACUGGUUGAUGUUGUAUUGCUGUAAGUCAACCGGAUUCCAAUGGCCAUCCUGUGACAGGCUCAGGAAAGCACUACGUCCUCUAUGACAAAUUCCACCAGUCAAACACAAAAGAUCCACAGGAUGUGCUGCGCAGAAUCUUCAUUGCUCCUGAACUGCAGGCAACUCUGAACAGUCAGGUGGCUGAGCAACUGUUCGCUUGUCUGAGGAAGAACAAUUACUUUCUAAACAACAUGGGACCAUCUGCUCACAUCUUCCUGAUGCGGAACAUCAUAGAGCACAGGAACAACCAGCAAAACAACACACUGCUGAAACGCCAGCUGAGAAGGGGUCUUCAGGUUCAAGACCUGAACAGUGUCACCCUGUCAGACUUGGGCCAAGUGCUACUAGGUGCAAAAACAUUGCCAGACAGAACAUCACAGCAAAGUCAUCCGGAAGGUCUACAGCCACCUGUAAUUGAAGUGUCACCGCAAAGUGAACCUUGUCUGUUGAACGCUUCAACUCACUGUGGGCAGGACUGUGCAGCACUGACUGUCAUUGUUAAUAUCAGGCCCUGCAGAAGUUCGUGGGGUCCUAAUGGAGUUCAUCCCCUUCAGGAAAAGCUGUUCAACUACGUACUGAAUGACAGUGGGCCAGCAAAUGAGCUCAUUGUUAAAGCUGGUCCAACAUGUCUAACCAGGGAGAAUUUACUGACCUUGGGGACAAACAGGGAGAUGGACUCUGUGGUGGGGAAUGCUUGUUUGAGGUUGGUUCAGGAGAUGGUCCAACUUCAGGGGAAAGAUGUUUUCAUCAUGGACCUUCACACGCCCCCAACAUGGCUCCCACCCAUGGAUUGUGACCCUCUGCAUAGUCUUCCUGUGGAUUACGCGAAGAAGACACUGAUAUUUCCUCUGUGGACUCGAGGGCAUUAUCUGCUUUGUGUCAUGGAGCCACUGAAAACAUUAAUCUUGUUCAUGGACUCGAUGUAUGCCAAGAAAGAACAAGGCUUUGGGCACAAGCCUUAUCAACACAUUUUGAGGGCUCUUGCACAGAGGAUAGCACCAGGACCUUGGCAGGAACAGACAGGGCUGGACAUUGAGGGCCUCCCACAGCAACAUUUUGGUGUUGACUGUGGAAUUUUCAUGAUCAUGUAUGCUUGGUACAUCGCCCUGGAGACACCAUUUGAUUUCUCCAUACAUGACAUGCCCUACCUGAGGAGGUGGUGGUGCACAGUGUUAAUGGAGAAUCUGGAGAUCGAGGGGCAUGGAAGAAGAUUCGCACAUUUCACAGAGGAGGGCAGAAAGACGGCAGACGGUAGUGUGGCACCUGUUUUCCGUGUGCCACGAAAAAGGAAGCUGGACACUAUGGAUGGUAAUGGGCAGAUAAUAGUUGGGCCACCAGCAGCAACAUCAGCAGCUCCUACAGCCCCAACAGCAGCUCCAACAGUCCAGUGUGACAGCUGUGUCUCCAUUGAACAGAGAGAAGAGAGUUUCAGUGAAUUAGAGGACUUCAAUGAAGAAUGUGAGGACACAAGUUGUGAGGAAAGAGAAGAGCGUUUGCGUGAGAUACAGGAGCUCAGCAAAGACUACCAGAACACUAAAUGGGUAAGAGCACACCAAAUGAGGAGGAGGUUGUUGUAACGCCCUGCAACGUGAGAGAAAGCUUACAGAGGCCAGCUGAACAGACUAGACCUCAAAAACCAAUACCAGUGGAUGCUGAUGUCAAUAAGUGUCCCACCUGUUCCUCAGUCCUGCACAUCGUCCAGGGAACAGACUGGCAGGCCAGUCCAGUGGCUCAGUGUACCAACUGCCCCACCAAGUCCUACCUCUGUGCUACCUGCCUCUCUCCCUGGCAAGGUCAUCCUGGGGUGCUGGGCCACUGUGCCAACAAGAGGUGUGCAGUGGUGGGAACCCUCCUCACCUGUGGGCUGAUCACCGACCCAAACAGCCGAGUAAAGGGCUGUCCAGAGUUCCGUGCUUGUCCCAAAUGCUACUGUCUACUCAUGCACAGCCAUGGCUGCAAAUAUGUCACCUGCUUUUGCAGCCAUACAUUUUGCUACAUCUGCUUGAGUGACAGUAAUGAGUGCAGGAAGGACAAAGACUUGUAUUGGUCACUUACCUGCUCUAAGCCAACAGCUGGACGACAGUGGUUCACAGGGCCGUAUUGAGCCGUUCUGUGGCCCUGGGCUAUAUCUUAAGAGGGGGCCCUACCGUACCGUUUUGCGCUCAUGCCAUUUAUUAACUUAUUAAACUCACAACAGCAAGUAUGUUGACACUGAUUUGCACUGGGCGUACUGUAGGUGUUUGUAGGCAAACUGGUUGAACUAGACUGCAUUUCCGAGGAGCUGCAAAGUGUGGUUGCUCAGGUGCAUCAACAGGAGCAGACAGUGGAAUAGGGUGCGUUGAAUUCGGCUUGAUCCAAGGAUUUCAACAACAUUCAAUAUCGGGCAUACGGGUCAAAAACGCAGAUUUUUGAUUGCAGCGACUCUUAGGUUAAAGUUUAGUCAAUAGCGGACCAGAUUGGUGACCUGUGAACAUUAAGUUUAGUUUUUUCAUGCAUCCUCUCAAUGGAACCCCAAGUCCAUGUACCAAGUUUGGUUUUGAUAAUUGAAAGUUUUGCUAAGAUGAUAUAGACUGGGUGGUGGUAGUGUAGUGGUUAAGGAGCUGGGCUAGUGUGCAGUAGCCUGACAGUUGUGGGUUCAAUUCCUGGCUUCCAUUGUUAUGCCCUUGAACAAGGCAAUUUACCCCAAGUUGCUCUGAGGACAAUGUAACCCCUUUUAAUAUAGUUGACAUAUGUAAGUCGCUUUGGACAAUAGUGUCUGCUAAAUAAACAUUAAAAUGUGACCUUACUUUCUGUUUGGCGGCUUUACCAACGCAACACACGUUUAUCUGUUUAAUGCAUGUUGUAUGUCAUGUCUGUGUCUUCCGAAUGGACCUUGAGUCUGGCAAUAAAGUUGAUGAUGUGUUA